UAAUUGUGCCGGCUAUAGAUGGUUCCCAUUUAAUGUACAAAUUCCUUAUUUGUGUUUGUGGAGCUUUUUUGUUGGAUUAGAUAGUAAUACCGCAAAUCAGUCCAUGAUUUCAGCCCAAAUUGACCUAUGAAUACCAAUUGCCCGUUAAAGCUUCUAAUGACAUGUUUGGUAUAAAGUAAAAGUAGUGAUUUUAUCAGUUAUUUUGUUAUCUUUGGUUGACUCAUAAAAAAAAAUUCCGGAAAAUAUUUUCUAGUAUUUGGUCAGAUAAAAUACUCUUUCUACAACAUGAAAAAAAAGUACUCAUAUUAUUCAAACGAAAGAAAAUACUUUUUCUACGACAUAAAAACGUAUCUUUUUGUUGAAAUAAAAGAAAAUAUUUUAUCUAUAAUAUGAAAAGAAAAUACUCAUUUUGUAAAAAAAGAAAAUACUUUUUUACGUCAUGAAAAGAAAGUACUUAUUAUGUUAAAAUUGAACAAAAUACUUUUCUACAUCAUAAAAAAAAUUAUUUUGUUGAAAUAAAAAAAUAUUAUUUUUAUAACAUGAAAAGAAAGUUCUCUAAAUAAUAACCAUGUUUUGGAUCCUUCCAAACCAAUCUUUCAUCAAUUUUCAAUUAACUGUGCUAGGUAUACCUUUAUGUAAGCACUCUGCCAGGUCCAUACUAGAAAAAACUCGAUCAUGACAGGUAUUUCUAUUCAGGGUGAGGUGGGGGUUCAGGGGUAGGGUGGGGUCGGGUGGUGGGAGGUGAGGGGUUCAGGUGUAGGGUAGGGUUGGAUGGUGGGAGGUGGGUUGACGGUAUGUGAAAAGUUCUAAUUUUACUACUUUUUUAUUAUUCUUAUUUUUGUUAGUAUUAUAAAAUAAAGAACUAUUAACUAAAGUUCUAAAUCUUAAUUGAGAAGAAAAACCAUUAGACAUGAAUUAGCAUUUAUUUUAACACAUAAGACAAUAAGCAACUAGAAAAAAGAAAUUAAUCAUCAUAAAUCACUCCAGUAUGUGAAAAGUUCUAGUUUUUUACUACUUUUUUAUUAUUCUUAUUUUUGUUAGUAUUAUAAAAUAAAGAACUAUUAACUAAAGUUCUAAAUCUUAAUUGAGAAUAAAAACCAUUAGACAUGAAUUAGCAUUUAUUUUAACACAUAAGACAAUAAGCAACUAGAAAAAAGAAAUUAAUCAUCAUAAACCACUCCAGAAUAAUAUUUACGAAAAAGUAAUCAUUGAGGAAUUUUAAGAAAUCAGUAUGUGGCUAUUAACUUCCUAUAACUAUCAUAUGGAUAAUUAUUUCAUAUAGCUAUAAUUCAAUUGUUACGGUAGUGCAAUCGCUAUAUUCGCAUUGUUGUAUUCAUGAGUACAGUAGCAAAAAUGCUCCUCAAAAUCAAGGCAGUCCAGUUGUACGCGCACGUAUUCACAUGUAUUCGUGCCAUGCAUUCAUGAAUACAACAGCAAAAAACACAUAAAAUCAUUGCAGUCCAAGUGUAUGCGGAUGUAUUCACAUGUAUUCGCGCUAUAUAUUCAUGAAUGCAGUAACAUCAAUCACCUCAAAAGUAGGUGAUCCAACUGUCUAAGAGAGAGAGAAAACAUAAAUAGCGUAUUUCAUGCCUUAUUUCAUUCUCCAAUGAUAGUAUAUACCAUAAAUACUUCUUUUGCUAUAAAAAUUAUUUCCUUCAAAGUCAAGACUGACGCCUUUAUAUGCCCAUCAUUAGGGCAAACUUCAGAUUUUUAAGUUGCCUUUUAGUCCUCUAGUUUUAUAACUUGCUUGCCAAGUUAAAUCACCAUAACCCUGAAAUUCCUACUAAGGCCCCUACUAGAAGCUUCUUAUUUUGUUACUGAUUAGAUUCCCUUAAUCAAAUACCUAAACUACCCUCCAAUACCCAUGUUUUUACCCCCUUCAAACUUCGCAGAUAAAACAUGAAUCAGAACUGAUGUCAAACUCCAGCUAAUGGGCUGGUUGUCCUCACACCAUGGGCUAAUAAACACACAGACCCCAAGCCCAAACAAAACAAACAAAAUUUAGGGGAAGUAGCCCAAUUCACACAUCCGUUAAUCAUAAUUUUGUUUUUCCUUCUUUUCCCUCCUUAUUUUCUUGAAAAUGUUUUGGCAUUGAAAUUAACACUAUCACACUAGCUUAAUCUUACAGAAAAAGAGAUGGAGCAGAAUUAAAUGUUGAACUAAAGGAGGAACAGAACGUACCAAAAGACAAAGCAACAUCCAUAGCCUGUAAAAAGAAAAACUUCAAAAUCCUUAGUGACGAAGCUGACUCAAGAUCGAAACUCUAAUGAACUCAAAUGCCGGACCCAUUGAUGAACAUGGUACCCUGAAUAUCAGCUGAAACUUCGUUCAUAGCUAAUAAUUUGUACCAUAAUUCUUAUCAUGAGUUGGAAAGAAAUGAAGUGGACCCGGAAGGAGGCAAAGCGUUUUGAAGAACAUGUCUGUCAUACAGCCAUGGUCGAAGAGCAGCGCGUUCUUGGACAACGAACAAACCUCCAUUGACGGAGGACUAAGGUAUUCAUGCAAGCCUUAGCCGGAAAAAAAAAUUUAGGCAAGAGAAAAAACUUGAAUUUUUACCUUUUGAUCUGAAAUUGGGAACACUCUGGUGGUCUUUUGGAAAAAAUAGUGGCAGGACAUGAAAGAGAAGAUGGUGGGGAUCAUCUCAUGAAAUUUUAGGGAGAUUUGGAGGUAAUCCGCCGCCGUGAGACGAUCUCCGAGUGGCGGAGAGACGGUGACAGCGGGUGGAGACUUUAGAGAGUGGAGAAAUCAGGUCUUCAUUGAGGAGGAAUGAAUGACUCUAGGAGAAUUUGGUCGUUGAAUGGCAGAGAGUGAUGAAACGACGUAGUUUAAUACUGAAACUGCGUCGUUUUGGGCUAGCCCAAAACGUACCGGGUCUGGGAAGUGAUAUGGGCUGGGUUACAUGGGGUUGUGUAUCAGGUGAGGGGUUUGGG
This 2930-nucleotide long non-coding RNA is filed under the name Nicotiana benthamiana. RNAcentral's name for it is "long non-coding RNA (NBEN_LNC035494)". Lineage: Eukaryota; Viridiplantae; Streptophyta; Magnoliopsida; Solanales; Solanaceae. The record is from RNAcentral.